This 261-nucleotide unclassified non-coding RNA is filed under the name Hevea brasiliensis (rubber tree). The record is from RNAcentral. Lineage: Eukaryota; Viridiplantae; Streptophyta; Magnoliopsida; Malpighiales; Euphorbiaceae.
AUGGUAGAAAUUGAAUCACUUUUUAUUUUGCUAUUCUAUAGAAAAUUUUAUAAGUCCAAGUUAACUGAAAUUUCUCAAUUCUUUUCCAAUUGUGUAUUGUAUUACCUACUUGAAUGAUAGCAGCACUCUACUACUACUGUUAUUAGCAACAAAUUGAUGUGAACUUUGCAACCCAUUUUCUUGCUUGCAAUAUCAAGAGUGACUUCUUAUUAUUUCUGGUUGAUAUGCAUCAAGUAUCCACUCCAGAUGCAGCACAGGUUG